CUUACCAAUCCCCACACCAUAAAAGAGGACGCACAAGCCACAACCCCACUAUAAACCACCACAACAGGAGACAACCCAGGAUAGGGGAGAUAGGACACUAAAGGGAGCCGGUGACGAUAGAACAAACAGGGUCUUGGGGACUGGUAGGGUUUGACGACCUGGUGGCGAAGUACAGGGCACCGCAGUGAUUGGCUCAUAAGGUAUUAGCUCGAAUUGACCAGUGUAAAUGUGAUGUGUUCGGUGAUGCAUACAGGAUAAUACUGUAAAAUAC
Molecule: non-coding RNA, 271 nt
Organism: Pelobates cultripes (western spadefoot toad)
Lineage: Eukaryota; Metazoa; Chordata; Amphibia; Anura; Pelobatidae
Source: the annotation of a GenBank genome assembly